This 441-nucleotide ribosomal RNA is filed under the name uncultured bacterium. Its description in RNAcentral is "partial 16S ribosomal RNA". It matches the Rfam family "Bacterial small subunit ribosomal RNA", at positions 338 to 795 of the family's 1533-position model. The record is from RNAcentral.
CCUACGGGAGGCAGCAGUGGGGAAUAUUGCGCAAUGGGGGCAACCCUGACGCAGCAACGCCGCGUGAUUGAAGAAGGCCUUCGGGUUGUAAAGAUCUUUAAUCGGGGACGAAUUUUGACGGUACCCGAAGAAUAAGCUCCGGCUAACUACGUGCCAGCAGCCGCGGUAAUACGGAGGGAGCAAGCGUUAUCCGGAUGUAUUGGGUGUAAAGGGUGCGUAGACGGGAAGUCAAGUUGGUUGUGAAAUCCCUCGGCUUAACUGAGGAACUGCAACCAAAACUAACUUUCUUGAGUGCUGGAGAGGAAAGUGGAAUUCCUAGUGUAGCGGUGAAAUGCGUAGAUAUUAGGAGGAACACCAGUGGCGAAGGCGACUUUCUGGACAGUAACUGACGUUGAGGCACGAAAGUGUGGGGAGCAAACAGGAUUAGAUACCCCAGUAGUC